Molecule: unclassified non-coding RNA, 346 nt
Filed under: Hevea brasiliensis (rubber tree)
Lineage: Eukaryota; Viridiplantae; Streptophyta; Magnoliopsida; Malpighiales; Euphorbiaceae
Source: RNAcentral
GAAUUUGUCAAUACUUGUCUGUUUUCCUUUAUAUCUGAUGCAUUUGCCUGGCAAUUUCUCACAGGCUUGGAAACAAUAAAAUUUUCAUUUUGUAUGAGUUUUAUUUUUGAGAUCUACAGAUGUUGCUCGUAAACAAUUAAGUCUUCUUCAUCUUGUUCUUCGUCUUCUUAAUUAAAAUACCCUACUCCAAACAAUCACUAGAAACACUAGUGCAUUAUUAGAAAGAGUAUAAAGUUAACUCUAAAGUCUUAAUGCUCAUUUUUGUGAAAUAAAUCUUUUGCUUAUAUCUAGCAACCUUUUCUGGUUACUUCUCAAUUUGGAACCUAGCUCUUUUUCUAUUUUCAUA